AUCGAACAUCAAGAGUGAGAUUAAGUUCUCCUCCAACCUGCCAACUCCGGCAAGGUGGAAUAAAGAUGUGGUUAAUCAACAAAUAUAGGAGUAAAC
The submitters of this non-coding RNA (96 nucleotides) gave its source as unclassified sequences. The record is from Rfam.